Molecule: long non-coding RNA, 1789 nt
Organism: Chrysemys picta bellii (western painted turtle)
Lineage: Eukaryota; Metazoa; Chordata; Testudines; Emydidae
Source: RefSeq, a predicted model, not a curated record
UCGAGAGAUCAUCUAGUCCAGUCCCCUGCACUCAUGGCAGGACUAAGUAUUAUCUAGACCAUCCCUGAUAGGUGUUUGUCUAAACUGCUCUUAAAUCUACAUAUGGCUACGUGGACCCUCUGACCACAUACUAAACGUUCAGUUUGAAACAGCAGAGAGAGCAGUCAUAUCUUUUGAGCUACACAAAGCUGAACAAUGUUGCAAGGAAGGCUCCUCCCCAACUCUGGGGGCACAAGGACACAGAUGGUGCCUCCCUUCUCCACUACCCCACCCCCACCGUGGCUUUCGUGAAAAAGAACUCCACAGUGGAGCCAGCCAGAGACUCGUCUGGAGGAGCAGUAACAGAAGCAGCUACAGUUUUGACUGGACUUCCUCUGCUCUGUACUAAUUGGCUGUUUGCUCCAAACCUGCAUCUCCUCAUCUCAGCUUCACUCCACAACUGCCCCCCCUUUUCCUGCCCUGUCAUGCUCACUCAUCUUCCUUUCCCUUUAGCUUAUCCCCUCCUAACUCCACUCCCCUCCCCUCCCAAAAAAGUCAUGGCACUGAAGUGAUGGCUUGUGCCAUCACACUGCUUUGCAUGUUAUUCCUCCCUGCCCCCCACUCUCUGUCUGCCUGGCCUAUUUAGACUGCAAGCUCUUCGGGGGGCAGGGAUUGUCAACUACUCUGUACAGCGCUCCACUCUGCAUUGGUACUUAGGCACUGCCGUAAUAAACAUGAUUAAUAAUACUAUAUACGCAAUCUUGCAGGCAUUCUCAGUUCCGAAGCUAUUAUCAUGGUCUAACCAUUUCCUUAGUACUGUACUGAACAUGGGCAUUUAUAAAACAUUCCAAGUUUCUGAAACUUUUUAGCAGCACAGAAAAGAAAGACAAGGGCAUUUUUAUUUGACUUUUGUUCACACAAACCUUUUUACUGAAGAGUGUUAGAAUCAUGCAUGUUGACUGUUUUUGUAAAGAAUAAUAAUUCAGCUGUAAACAGUUACAAACAUAAAAGCUUAAAAAAUACUUCAAACAAGAAUAGGAACAGCAAAAAAGUUGAAUGAGCAUCUGGCUCUUUUCUUUUUAAUAAAGAAAUAUUUCAAGUUGACAUCAGUGCAUAUUAAGAAAUAGCAUACAAUGCUCUGAACACCCAAUACAUGAGCAAAUACAUAACAAUUUUCAAAAAUGUAUAAACUAAUUGCGAGAAAAAAAAUUGUGUAAGAAUAGCCAGGAGAAUGACAUUCAAAAUAAACAGGCCAGUUGCUUUGUUUCACUGACUCAAUUAUAUUCUAGAUAGUUUAACAUGAGAGAUCCAAAAUUGUAGUCAUUAGGACCUCCAAAACAACAGUAAUUCUGCUACAAGUGAGUUAAGCAGUUUGCAUUUAUUUUUGUUGUACAGUUAAGUGUUAUUCUUAACUUUUGGACUGUUACACAAAAUCAUGACACAGUGAGGAUUCAUUGUAAAUUUACAUUUCAUACGUCAAAGUCAGAUUAACAGGAGAACACUGCGUUCUGAUUGUAUCCAUUGGCCAUUAUGUUGAGAACAGCACAAGCUGUAUGAUGCACAUGGGAAGCACGUUUGCCUGUUACAUAAAAUGGCUUAUUUUUCCAUGGUUUCAGAACCUCACAACAAUACUAUUCUAAACAUUGUUCCCUGUCAUUGUUUUAAGAUGGUUCAUCAACACCUCCUGCAUAAAUGAAUGAUAUAAAUAUGUCCAGUGACAAAAUCCAUUAUGGAAGGAUAGAGAAUUGCAAACUGAAAAUUGUACUGCAUCAUUUUUAAGGUGGACUUGUAAAUAUUCUUCUAUAAAUUU